UAGGGAAUCUUCCGCAAUGGGCGAAAGCCUGCCGGAGCAACGCCGCGUGAGUGAUGAAGGUCUUCGGAUCGUAAAACUCUGUUAUUAGGGAAGAACACAUGUGUAAGUAACUAUGCACGUCUUGACGGUACCUAAUCAGAAAGCCACGGCUAACUACGUGCCAGCAGCCGCGGUAAUACGUAGGUGGCAAGCGUUAUCCGGAAUUAUUGGGCGUAAAGCGCGCGUAGGCGGUUUUUUAAGUCUGAUGUGAAAGCCCACGGCUCAACCGUGGAGGGUCAGUGGAAACUGGAAAACUUGAGUGCAGAAGAGGAAAGUGGAAUUCCAUGUGUAGCGGUGAAAUGCGCAGAGAUAUGGAGGAACACCAGUGGCGAAGGCGACUUUCUGGUCUGUAACUGACGCUGAUGUGCGAAAGCGUGGGGAUCAAACAGG
Molecule: ribosomal RNA, 429 nt
Filed under: Actinomycetes bacterium
Lineage: Bacteria; Bacillati; Actinomycetota; Actinomycetes
Description: Actinobacteria bacterium partial 16S ribosomal RNA
Rfam family: Bacterial small subunit ribosomal RNA
Source: RNAcentral